Molecule: ribosomal RNA, 467 nt
Filed under: uncultured bacterium
Lineage: Bacteria
Description: partial 16S ribosomal RNA
Rfam family: Bacterial small subunit ribosomal RNA
Source: RNAcentral
GACGAACGCUGGCGGCGUGCUUAACACAUGCAAGUCGAACGGAAAGGCCCUGCUUUUGUGGGGUGCUCGAGUGGCGAACGGGUGAGUAACACGUGAGUAACCUGCCCUUGACUUUGGGAUAACUUCAGGAAACUGGGGCUAAUACCGGAUAGGAGCUCCUGCUGCAUGGUGGGGGUUGGAAAGUUUCGGCGGUUGGGGAUGGACUCGCGGCUUAUCAGCUUGUUGGUGGGGUAGUGGCUUACCAAGGCUUUGACGGGUAGCCGGCCUGAGAGGGUGACCGGCCACAUUGGGACGGAGAUACGGCCCAGACGCCUACGGGAGGCAGGAGUGGGGAGUAUUGCACAAUGGGCGGAAGCCUGAUGCAGCAACGCCGCGUGCGGGAUGACGGCCUUCGGGUUGUAAACCGCUUGCGCCUGUGACGAAGCGUGAGUGACGGUAAUGGGGAAAGAAGCACCGGCUAACUACGU